UACGUAGGGUGCGAGCGUUAAUCGGAAUUACUGGGCGUAAAGCGUGCGCAGGCGGCUCUGUAAGACAGAUGUGAAAUCCCCGGGCUCAACCUGGGAACUGCAUUUGUGACUGCAAGGCUAGAGUGCGUCAGAGGGAGGUGGAAUUCCGCGUGUAGCAGUGAAAUGCGUAGAGAUGCGGAGGAACACCGAUGGCGAAGGCAGCCUCCUGGGAUGACACUGACGCUCAUGCACGAAAGCGUGGGGAGCAAACAGG
Molecule: ribosomal RNA, 253 nt
Filed under: uncultured bacterium
Lineage: Bacteria
Description: partial 16S ribosomal RNA
Rfam family: Bacterial small subunit ribosomal RNA
Source: RNAcentral